GAUUCCCCGUUACCCGUCGUUACCGCGGCGGGUACGAGUACCCCGCCGCGGUAACGACGGGUAACGGGGAAUCAGGGUUCGAUUCCGGAGAGGGAGCCCGAGAAACGGCUACCACUUCCAAGGAAGGCAGCAGGCGCGCAACUUACCCUAAUCUCGAUUCGAGGAGGUAGUGACAAGAAAUACCGAUGCGGGGACCCUACGGGGUGCCGCGUUCGGAAUGAGUACGAUUCGAACCACCUAACGAGGAACGAUCGGAGGGCAAGUCUGGUGCCAGCAGCCGCGGUAAUUCCAGCUCCAAUAGCGUACGUUAAAGUUGCUGCAGUUAAAAAGCUCGUAGUUGAACGUUCGGGUUCCGCGGGACGGGGCCGCCCCGCGAGGGACGGCGCCGCCCCGGGGCUCGUGAUAUCUCAUCUCGCCGCCCGUCGCGAGGCGGACGGAGGGAUGGAUGAGGUUACCUGGAAAAAAUCGGGGC
Molecule: ribosomal RNA, 472 nt
Filed under: uncultured eukaryote
Lineage: Eukaryota
Description: bacterial SSU rRNA
Rfam family: Eukaryotic small subunit ribosomal RNA
Source: RNAcentral